Molecule: ribosomal RNA, 472 nt
Filed under: uncultured bacterium
Lineage: Bacteria
Description: bacterial SSU rRNA
Rfam family: Bacterial small subunit ribosomal RNA
Source: RNAcentral
AGAGUUUGAUCAUGGCUCAGAACGUACGCUGGCGGCACGCCUAACACAUGCAAGUCGAACGAAGUAGCAAUACUUAGUGGCAGACGGGUGAGUAACAUGUAGGUAUCUACCCUACGGCCUGGAAUAACACGAGGAAACUUGUGCUAAUACCGGAUAAGUCUUUACGGAGAAAGCUUUAUGCACCAUUGGAUGAGCCUGCACUUGAUUAGUUUGUUGGUAGGGUAAUGGCCUACCAAGACUGUGAUCAAUAGCUGAUUUGAGAGGAUGAUCAGCCACAUUGGGACUGAGACACGGCCCAAACUCCUACGGGAGGCAGCAGUGGGGAAUCUUGCACAAUGGAGGAAACUCUGAUGCAGCGAUGCCGCGUGAGUGAAGAAGGCCUUUGGGUUGUAAAGCUCUUUCGUCGGGGAAGAAAAUGACUGUACCCGAAUAAGAAGGUCCGGCUAACUUCGUGCCAGCCGCCGCGGUAAUA